RNAcentral lists this non-coding RNA (23 nucleotides) under Cricetulus griseus (Chinese hamster). Lineage: Eukaryota; Metazoa; Chordata; Mammalia; Rodentia; Cricetidae. The record is from RNAcentral.
GGGAACUCAGAAGGAGGAGGCUG